UAGGGAAUCUUCGGCAAUGGGCGAAACCCUGACGCAGCAAUACCGCGUGAGUGAAGAAGGUUUUCGGAUCGUAAAGCUCUGUUAUUGGGGAAGAAAAAAAGACGGUACCCAAGAAGAAAGUCCCGGCUAACUACGUGCCAGCAGCCGCGGUAAUACGUAGGGGACAAGCGUUGUCCGGAUUUACUGGGCGUAAAGGGCACGCAGGCGGUUUUUUAAGUCAGAUGUGAAAGGUACCGGCUCAACCGGUGACAUGCAUUUGAAACUGAAAGACUUGAGUAUUGGAGAGGCAAGUGGAAUUCCUAGUGUAGCGGUGAAAUGCGUAGAUAUUAGGAGGAACACCGGUGGCGAAGGCGGCUUGCUGGACAAAUACUGACGCUGAGGUGCGAAAGCGUGGGGAGCAAACA
RNAcentral lists this ribosomal RNA (404 nucleotides) under uncultured prokaryote. RNAcentral's name for it is "bacterial SSU rRNA". It matches the Rfam family "Bacterial small subunit ribosomal RNA", at positions 355 to 774 of the family's 1533-position model. The record is from RNAcentral.